RNAcentral lists this ribosomal RNA (495 nucleotides) under uncultured bacterium. RNAcentral's name for it is "partial 16S ribosomal RNA". It matches the Rfam family "Bacterial small subunit ribosomal RNA", at positions 28 to 507 of the family's 1533-position model. The record is from RNAcentral.
GACGAACGCUGGCGGCGUGCCUAAUACAUGCAAGUAGAACGCUGAAGGAGGAGCUUGCUUCUCUGGAUGAGUUGCGAACGGGUGAGUAACGCGUAGGUAACCUGCCUGGUAGCGGGGGAUAACUAUUGGAAACGAUAGCUAAUACCGCAUAAGAGUAGAUGUUGCAUGACAUUUGCUUAAAAGUUGCAAUUGCAUCACUACCAGAUGGACCUGCGUUGUAUUAGCUAGUUGGUGGGGUAACGGCUUACCAAGGCGACGAUACAUAGCCGACCUGAGAGGGUGGACGGCCCAAAUGGGAACGGGACACGGCCCAGACUCCUACGGGAGGCAGCAGUAGGGAAUCUUCGGAAAUGGACGGAAGUCUGACCGAGCAACGCCGCGUGAGUGAAGGAGGUUUUCGGAUCGUAAAGCUCUGUUGUAAGAGAAGAACGAGUGUGAGAGUGGAAAGUUCACACUGUGACGGUAUCUUAACAGAAAGGGACGGCUAACUACGUG